UCCGUAGGUGAACCUGCGGAAGGAUCAUUACUGAGUGCGGGCUGCCUCCGGGCGCCCAACCUCCCACCCGUGAAUACCUAACACUGUUGCUUCGGCGGGGAACCCCCUCGGGGGCGAGCCGCCGGGGACUACUGAACUUCAUGCCUGAGAGUGAUGCAGUCUGAGUCUGAAUAUAAAAUCAGUCAAAACUUUCAACAAUGGAUCUCUUGGUUCCGGCAUCGAUGAAGAACGCAGCGAACUGCGAUAAGUAAUGUGAAUUGCAGAAUUCAGUGAAUCAUCGAGUCUUUGAACGCACAUUGCGCCCCCUGGCAUUCCGGGGGGCAUGCCUGUCCGAGCGUCAUUGCUGCCCAUCAAGCCCGGCUUGUGUGUUGGGUCGUCGUCCCCCCCGGGGGACGGGCCCGAAAGGCAGCGGCGGCACCGUGUCCGGUCCUCGAGCGUAUGGGGCUUCGUCACCCGCUCGACUAGGGCCGGCCGGGCGCCAGCCGACGUCUCCAACCAUUUUUCUUCAGGUUGACCUCGGAUCAGGUAGGGAUACCCGCUGAACUUAAGCAUAUCAAUAAGCGGAGGAAAAGAAACUAACAAGGAUUCCCCUAGUAACUGCGAGUGAAGCGGGAAAAGCUCAAAUUUAAAAUCUGGCAGUCUCUGAUUGUCCGAGUUGUAAUCUAGAGAAGCAUUAUCCGCGCUGGACCGUGUACAAGUCUCCUGGAAUGGAGCGUCAUAGAGGGUGAGAAUCCCGUCUUUGACACGGACUGCCAGGGCUUUGUGAUGUGCUCUCAAAGAGUCGAGUUGUUUGGGAAUGCAGCUCAAAAUGGGUGGUAAAUUCCAUCUAAAGCUAAAUAUUGGCGAGAGGCCGAUAGCGAACAAGUACCGUGAGGGAAAGAUGAAAAGAACUUUGGAAAGAGAGUUAAACAGUACGUGAAAUUGCUGAAAGGGAAACGCUUGAAGU
This 946-nucleotide ribosomal RNA is filed under the name uncultured fungus. RNAcentral describes it as "eukaryotic LSU rRNA". The stretch from base 512 to 946 matches the Rfam family "Eukaryotic large subunit ribosomal RNA", at positions 1 to 429 of the family's 3401-position model. The record is from RNAcentral. Lineage: Eukaryota; Fungi.